This 66-nucleotide transfer RNA is filed under the name Diamesus osculans. Its description in RNAcentral is "tRNA-Glu". The record is from RNAcentral. Lineage: Eukaryota; Metazoa; Arthropoda; Insecta; Coleoptera; Silphidae.
UAUUUAUAUAGUUUAAAUAAAACGUUAUAUUUUCACUAUAAAAUUAGAAAAAUUUUUCUUAUAAAU